GAUGAACGCUGGCGGCGUGCCUAACACAUGCAAGUCGAACGGAAAGACAGGAGGGCUUGCUCUCUAGCGGGCGCGUGGCGGGCGGGUGUGGCAUACAUCGAACUCUGCUCAGUGAUGGGGGAAACCUAAGGGAACCUUACCCUAAUACGGCUUAUGUCCUUAAGGUGAAGGUUGGAGAGCGCAAGACGUCUCGGCUGUGGCUGAGCCGUGGUCGCAUUAGCUAGUUGGUGGGGUAAAGGCUUACCAAGGCGACGAUCCGUAGCGGGUGUGAGAGGUGGAUCGGCCACACUGGAACUGAGACACGGUCCAGACUCCUACGGGAGGCAGCAGUAGGGAAUAUUGGGCAAUGGGCGGAAGCCUGACCGAGCAACGCCGCGUGGGUGAAGAAGGCCUUCGGGUGGUAAAGCCCUGUUGUUGGGAAAGAAAGCGUUCAGGAGAAGCUACGCGGGUGAUGACGGUACCUAAAGAAUAAGCACCGGCUAACUACGUG
Molecule: ribosomal RNA, 490 nt
Filed under: uncultured bacterium
Lineage: Bacteria
Description: partial 16S ribosomal RNA
Rfam family: Bacterial small subunit ribosomal RNA
Source: RNAcentral